UUUCUCUAUCGAUAUUUGUUUUAAAUUGUUCGUCAAAAGUCUUUCAAUUAUAUUUUUAAGUUUAUAAAACUGCUGUAGCUUUUCUGGUCUGCACCGUUCAAUUCAAGAGUUCUUAGAAUUUGCAAUGCUUUUCUCAGUUCAGCUGUGGUUGGCAUGUGGUUGCUUUCUUCUGUAUCUCUUUCACUGUAAGUUUCUGCAGCUGUUUAAACACUUGCUAUAAUUUCAUAGUCGGUGUUUUCACAUGCUCUCUCAAUAUUAUGAUCAGUUGCAAUAUAUUCUAAAAACGAAUCUUAAUUAAAUGUUCAGGACAAUAUCAGAGGGGUGUGUACAGCACAGUUGUUUAAGCCUAAAAUUAUUUUUUCAUUUUUCAGUUCUAUAUUUCAUUUUAAAAGGAAAUCAAUAAAAAUACUGCUUAUCAUCCACGAGCUCUUGUUAUAAUGUUAACCCUCUAAUGGCCAUGGUAGCAUAUUUGCUACCAUAUAUUAAAUGCCAUGUUAUUAUACAAGGAACAUGAUGAAAUGUAAUUUUCAUGUCAUAAAUUUAUAGAUUGAACCUUUCUCAUGUAUUAUUAGCAAAUUUUAGGCAUAGAUAGCGGCACCAGCUUAAAGGGAAAAAAAAUAGAAGAAGCAUGGAUACAGCAAACAAUGCAAGCACCUUUUCAGAUCCAUGCACUUCAGGCCCCUUUUUCUACAGAGUAAGAGGAAGAAAUGUGUUUAAAAAACUAGAAGAUGCCAUAGCAUAUAUGAAUGAUUUGGAAAGUGAUUUAUCCGAUGUAUCUGAUGACGACUCUGAUGAUGAAUAUAUGCCUACAUAAGCAUCUAAUAUCUUCCAUGAAGGAAGCUCAGAUGAUGAAAAACAAGAUCAUAAUGAAGAUGUAGAAAAUGACCAAAAUGCAUCAAAUUUUGAAUAAAGUGUCUAUCUAUGUAAGAGCUAUAAAAAUUUAAAAUUCUCUGGAGGACAAAAGAGCCUAAUCUUAUGCCUUCAUCAAAUGAUGAUAAAUUUCCUGAUUCUAAAGAACCUCUUCCAUCUGCUCUUGCAUAUUUUCAGAUUGUUAUAUCAACAGAUAUUAUAAAAUUAGUAGUUGAACAAACAAAUCUGUAUAGAGUUCAACAAACAGGAACUUCUCUUAUGGUGAUGGCAAAGGAAAUAGAGCAAGUAAUACGAAUGGACCGUAUACCUCAUAUUAGAGGAUAUUCAGAAGAGGGAAUAAAGUAUGAACCAAUUGCAGAAGUAAUGUCUAGAAACAGAUUUGAAAAAAAUCUUAAGAUUUUUGCAUAUUGUGGAUAAUUCUCAAAUUGAUGAUGAUGAUAGAAGUGACAAAUGCUGUAGAGUGCGACCGUGGUUGUCUAGACUUUGAGAAAACAUGCUAUCCAUUCCAUGUGAGACCAAGCUGUCUGUUGAUGAAAUAAUGAUUCCAUUUUGUGGGACAAUAUAUGCCUAAAAAACCUCAUAGCAAACGGGGUUUAAAAAUGUGGGUCCGGUGUGGACAAUCAGGCAUUUGUUACGAUUUUGAUGUUUACACUAGAAAAUCUUAAGGUUCCUCUUGAGAUCAAACUACCUACGCAUUAGGUCUAGGAGCAGGUGUUGUGAUGCAGUUAUGCAGCACUCUAAGUAACCCAACAAAAACUACUAUCUUUGCGGAUAACGUUUUCUCUGGAAUCCCAUUAGUAUAUUAAUUAUCCAAGAAAAAUAUAGGAUUUGUUAAAACUUCGAGAGAAAAUAGGCUAAUGAAAUGUAAAUUAAAGAACCAGAAAGAAGUGAAAAAAGAAUGCAGGCGAUCCAUUGAUUAUUUUGUAGCAUCUGUAAAGAAUGCAGAUAUCAUAGCUGUAAAUAUAAAUAUUGUAACCUUAAA
This is a long non-coding RNA of Stegodyphus dumicola, 1852 nucleotides long. RefSeq lists it as uncharacterized. The record is from RefSeq and is a predicted model, not a curated record. NCBI's taxonomy places the organism in Eukaryota, Metazoa, Arthropoda, Arachnida, Araneae, Eresidae.